AACGAACGCUGGCGGCAUGCCUAACACAUGCAAGUCGAACGAGACCUUCGGGUCUAGUGGCGCACGGGUGCGUCACGCGUGGGAAUCUGCCCUUGGGUUCGGAAUAACUUCGGGAAACUGAAGCUAAUACCGGAUGAUGACGUAAGUCCAAAGAUUUAUCGCCCAAGGAUGAGCCCGCGUAGGAUUAGCUAGUUGGUGAGGUAAAGGCUCACCAAGGCGACGAUCCUUAGCUGGUCUGAGAGGAUGAUCAGCCACACUGGGACUGAGACACGGCCCAGACUCCUACGGGAGGCAGCAGUGGGGAAUAUUGGACAAUGGGCGAAAGCCUGAUCCAGCAAUGCCGCGUGAGUGAUGAAGGCCUUAGGGUUGUAAAGCUCUUUUACCCGGGAUGAUAAUGACAGUACCGGGAGAAUAAGCUCCGGCUAACUCCGUGCCAGCAGCCGCAGUAA
RNAcentral lists this ribosomal RNA (449 nucleotides) under uncultured bacterium. Its description in RNAcentral is "partial 16S ribosomal RNA". It matches the Rfam family "Bacterial small subunit ribosomal RNA", at positions 29 to 523 of the family's 1533-position model. The record is from RNAcentral.